RNAcentral lists this ribosomal RNA (383 nucleotides) under Mucor sp. BAB-2289. Its description in RNAcentral is "eukaryotic LSU rRNA". It matches the Rfam family "Eukaryotic large subunit ribosomal RNA", at positions 377 to 671 of the family's 3401-position model. Lineage: Eukaryota; Fungi; Mucoromycota; Mucoromycetes; Mucorales; Mucoraceae. The record is from RNAcentral.
UGAAAAGAGAGUUAAACAGUAUGUGAAAUUGUUAAAAGGGAACCGUUUGGAGCCAGACUGGCUUGAUCGUAAUCACUCUAGGCUUUGGCCUGGAUGCACUUGCGGUCUAUGCCGGCCAACGACAGUUUUGUUUGAGGGAAAAAAUUACAUUGAAUGUGGCCCUUCGGGGUGUUAUAGCUUUGUAAAAAAUACCUUGGACGGGACUGAGGAACGCAGCGAAUGCCUUUAGGCGAGAUUGCUGGGUGCUUGCGCUGAUACAUGCUAGAAUUUCUGCUUUGGGUGGUGCUAGUGUGUAAAGGAGUAACCCGCUUAGUAUAUUUUUUAUUCGCUUAGGUUGUUGGCUUAAUGACUCUAAAUGACCCGUCUUGAAACACGACCCAAGA